RNAcentral lists this ribosomal RNA (499 nucleotides) under uncultured Clostridium sp. Its description in RNAcentral is "bacterial SSU rRNA". It matches the Rfam family "Bacterial small subunit ribosomal RNA", at positions 216 to 732 of the family's 1533-position model. Lineage: Bacteria; Bacillati; Bacillota; Clostridia; Eubacteriales; Clostridiaceae. The record is from RNAcentral.
CGCUAUGAGAUGGGCCCGCGGCGCAUUAGCUAGUUGGUGAGGUAACGGCUCACCAAGGCGACGAUGCGUAGCCGACCUGAGAGGGUGAUCGGCCACAUUGGGACUGAGACGCGGCCCAGACUCCUACGGGAGGCAGCAGUGGGGAAUAUUGCACAAUGGGGGAAACCCUGAUGCAGCAACGCCGCGUGAGUGAUGACGGCCUUCGGGUUGUAAAGCUCUGUCUUCAGGGACGAUAAUGACGGUACCUGAGGAGGAAGCCACGGCUAACUACGUGCCAGCAGCCGCGGUAAUACGUAGGUGGCGAGCGUUGUCCGGAUUUACUGGGCGUAAAGGGAGCGUAGGCGGAUUUUUAAGUGAGAUGUGAAAUACUCGGGCUUAACCUGAGUGCUGCAUUUCAAACUGGAAGUCUAGAGUGCAGGAGAGGAGAAGGGAAUUCCUAGUGUAGCGGUGAAAUGCGUAGAGAUUAGGAAGAACACCAGUGGCGAAGGCGCUUCUCUGG